Molecule: small nuclear RNA, 107 nt
Organism: Suricata suricatta (meerkat)
Lineage: Eukaryota; Metazoa; Chordata; Mammalia; Carnivora; Herpestidae
Source: Ensembl
GUGCUCAUUUCUGCAGCACAUAGACUAAAAGUGGAAUGAUACAGGGAAGAUUAGCCUGGCUCCUACCAAAGGAUGACAUGCAAAUUUAUUGAGUGUCCCAGAUUAAA